This 291-nucleotide ribosomal RNA is filed under the name uncultured bacterium. RNAcentral's name for it is "partial 16S ribosomal RNA". It matches the Rfam family "Bacterial small subunit ribosomal RNA", at positions 505 to 796 of the family's 1533-position model. The record is from RNAcentral.
GUGCCAGCGCCGCGGUAAUACGGAGGAUCCAAGCGUUAUCCGGAAUCAUUGGGUUUAAAGGGUCCGUAGGCGGUUUUAUAAGUCAGUGGUGAAAUCCGGCAGCUCAACUGUCGAACUGCCAUUGAUACUGUAGAACUUGAAUUAUUGUGAAGUAACUAGAAUAUGUAGUGUAGCGGUGAAAUGCUUAGAGAUUACAUGGAAUACCAAUUGCGAAGGCAGGUUACUAACAAUACAUUGACGCUGAUGGACGAAAGCGUGGGUAGCGAACAGGAUUAGAUACCCUAGUAGUCC